RNAcentral lists this ribosomal RNA (301 nucleotides) under uncultured bacterium. Its description in RNAcentral is "partial 16S ribosomal RNA". It matches the Rfam family "Bacterial small subunit ribosomal RNA", at positions 509 to 807 of the family's 1533-position model. The record is from RNAcentral.
CAGUCGCCGCGGUAACACGUAGGUGGCGAGCGUUGUCCGGAAUUAUUGGGCGUAAAGGGCUCGCAGGCGGUUUCUUAAGUCUGAUGUGAAAGCCCCCGGCUCAACCGGGGAGGGUCAUUGGAAACUGGGAAACUUGAGUGCAGAAGAGGAGAGUGGAAUUCCACGUGUAGCGGUGAAAUGCGUAGAGAUGUGGAGGAACACCAGUGGCGAAGGCGACUCUCUGGUCUGUAACUGACGCUGAGGAGCGAAAGCGUGGGGAGCGAACAGGAUUAGAUACCCGGGUAGUCCCUGUCUCUUAUAC